GAGUCCUCUGUAGAUGCUUGAAUGGUUGUGUUCUUUCACUCCUUAUUUGGGAGCUUUCCUUAAGGAAAUGGCACUCUAAAGCAGCAAUUAUAAUAGAUCCCUCCCUCUCUCAGUACCCCAAUGUUUAACUGCAAACAAGCACUAGCCAUCAAGAACCGAGAGAUAGCUAGAUGACACUGAUUUCACCAUGUAUUCUCAUAUUCUUCUCACUAUCUUAUUUUUGAAAGAUGUAAGAAUUAUCAUAUUUGCAUAGGUGUCCAGUGUUCAUGAGACAAUACUCUUUUAUGGAUGG
This 292-nucleotide long non-coding RNA is filed under the name Medicago truncatula (barrel medic). RNAcentral's name for it is "lncRNA gene39302". The record is from RNAcentral. Lineage: Eukaryota; Viridiplantae; Streptophyta; Magnoliopsida; Fabales; Fabaceae.